This 198-nucleotide unclassified non-coding RNA is filed under the name rhizosphere metagenome. RNAcentral's name for it is "partial ribosomal RNA internal transcribed spacer region". The record is from RNAcentral.
GUAGGUGAACCUGCGGAAGGAUCAUUAUCGUUGGGCUUCGGCCCAUUCGAGAUAACACCCUUGCCUUUUUGAGUACCUUUUCGUUUCCUCGGCAGGCUCGCCUGCCAACGGGGACAACUAAAACGCUUUGUAAUACCUGUAAUUGUCUGAUAUAACAAGCAAAAAUUAAAACUUUCAACAACGGAUCUCUUGGUUCUG